GACAGAGGGUGCAAACGUUGCUCGGAAUUACUGGGCGUAAAGCGCGUGUAGGCGGGUCGGAAAGUCAGAUGUGAAAUCCCUGGGCUCAACCCAGGAACUGCAUUUGAAACUUCCGGUCUCGAGUGACGGAGAGGGAAGCGGAAUUCCUGGUGUAGAGGUGAAAUUCGUAGAUAUCAGGAGGAACACCGGUGGCGAAGGCGGCUUCCUGGACGUCUACUGACGCUGAGACGCGAAAGCUAGGGGAGCAAACAGG
This 253-nucleotide ribosomal RNA is filed under the name uncultured bacterium. Its description in RNAcentral is "partial 16S ribosomal RNA". It matches the Rfam family "Bacterial small subunit ribosomal RNA", at positions 524 to 776 of the family's 1533-position model. The record is from RNAcentral.